UACGUAGGGCGCAAGCGUUGUCCGGAAUUAUUGGGCGUAAAGAGCUCGUAGGCGGUUUGUCGCGUCUGCUGUGAAAACCUGAGGCUCAACCUCGGGCUUGCAGUGGGUACGGGCAGACUAGAGUGUGGUAGGGGUGACUGGAAUUCCUGGUGUAGCGGUGGAAUGCGCAGAUAUCAGGAGGAACACCGAUGGCGAAGGCAGGUCACUGGGCCGCAACUGACGCUGAGGAGCGAAAGCAUGGGGAGCGAACAGG
RNAcentral lists this ribosomal RNA (253 nucleotides) under uncultured bacterium. RNAcentral's name for it is "partial 16S ribosomal RNA". It matches the Rfam family "Bacterial small subunit ribosomal RNA", at positions 524 to 776 of the family's 1533-position model. The record is from RNAcentral.